UCUUCUAGUCUAGUCUGGGGUCCCAAAAUGCUUUCCAUUCACUCCUGGGUCCUGACAGGGGCAGAGCCAACAUCAAACUCCUUGCCUGUAUCAGUCAGGGUUCUCCAGAGAAACAGAACCGACACGAGAGCUCACUCGUGGCAAGACUGACUGCCUCAGUGGCAAGUUGCAGAGAAUGAGUGUGUUUUGUCCUUGCCCACAAGGCUUAUGAAGAGCUGUAAAGAGUUCCUCUGUGACUUGUGUAUCCCUUCUCUGUAUGUGUCUCUCAAACAUUCAUCAAGUGGCAGCCAGGGUCAAGAUACAAUGACAAGCGUGGCAGUCCAUACCCUCAGGGGUGUGGUGUCAUCAGGAAGGACUGUAUUGUCAACAAAUCACAGCAAAAAAUGGCAAAGCUGUGAUGAUUCAAGCUCGUAUAAAUUACUGAGAAGAGGGAAGCUAGGUAGAGUUCAGGUCCCUGAGGAAGUUGAGGAAGAUGGUACUUUUAGUCCAGGAAAUGAAGUUUGGGUGGGGUUUUCCAGAAAACAAAUGAGAUCAGGUUACUCAGGGCAGAGGAAACAGCAGGUGAAAAGACAAAAGCCUGCCCUGCUUGGAGAAUUGUUUAGUAGCUCAAUGUGGCUGGAGCAUCAUUUAGAGGGAUGGCGGUCAAGAGUGAAUGGGAUAAUUGAUUAUAAAGUUUAUAGAGAUGGAAAUAAUUGCUAAAAGGAAAAACAAAGCAACAAUGUGCAAAACAAAAUAAGGUCCCACCCCAUUCACUGAUCUGUGCUUUGACACUGCCUUUCUUUGAAAUUUUUUGAAAGAGAUGAAUCACCCAGAAUUUCUAAUGGUGGGAUUUUUAUUUUAAAGAUGGAUUUCUUUUUUCAGAGGAAAAUCAAACUGAGAUUAUCUGGGGUGUUUUAUCAACAGGAUUAAAAUUCUGGGUUUUACUGUAUGAUUUCACUCAUGUGGAAGAUAAACAAAUACAUGGACACAUGCCCCUCACCCCACCUGCUAUGGACUGAAUUCUAUCCCUCCAAAGAUGUUAUAGUCCUAACCUCUAGCACCUGUGGAUGAGACCAUAUUCGGAAGUAGAGUCUUUGAAGAAGAUCAAAUUAACAUGAGGUCAUUAGGACGGGCCCUUACCCAACACGACCAUCUCCUAAAAGGGGAAAAUUUGGAAACAGAUAUGCACACAGAAAGAACAUCAUGUGAACACGAAGGCAGAGAUUGGGAUGAUGCUUCUACAAACCAAGGAAUGCCAGAAAUUUCCAGCAACCACCAGAUGCUAAGAGAGAGGCUUGGAACAGUUUCUCCUUUACAACCCCCAGAGGGAACUAAACCUACUGACAUCUUGAUUUCAGACUUCUAGACUCCAGAACUGUGAGACAAUAAAUUUCCAUUGUUUAAGCCACUCAGUUUGUUGCCCUUUGUUACAGCAGCCCCAGGAAACUGACACAGUACCAGAUUUCGGAAGCAGCUUUGCUGCAGCCUGGGAUAGAUGGGAGAAAGGAGUGCCUGAGAGUGGGAUGCCUGCCUGAUGGGGAGAGAAUUUAAGAUAGAUGGGAAGUAUACAUGGAAAGCUCAGAGGAAUGGCACUCUAGAGGGUUCUGAGCUACAUAAGAUGACUAUCCAGAUCAGACCUGGCUCUUUGGUACUUUUCAAAGAAAACUGAUUUUAUGACAAUGCAACUGAAAGGGCUUUAGAUUGGAGAGUACUGUAGAACUCAAAUAAGUGCUUCUUCGGUAAUCAAAAUAAGUUCAUUCUUGAGUGAGGGAAUAUGUAUUUAAUGUAGCCAUCCAAGGAAAUCAUGCGACAUGGACUUUCAAAGCAUGUGCUUCACAAAAGAAAGGAAUGAUUAUCCGCUUCUUUCCUAAAAGUUGAAUAGCUGUCAUUUGUUCACACCGAGGAGGCUCUGCAAUGUGGCUUUAGACUGCUGUGCUUGUGGGUCAUACGGCAGCAUCUUCACGAAACAUGGAUGCAAAAUAAGGUAUCAACUCCUUAACAUAAAUGUAGACGCUGCUGGGAUAAACAAAAUGCAAAUUUAUUUUUAAAUUAAUUCAUUUGAAACAAAGAACAAGGAUAGAACAUCUGCAAUUGGGGCUGUGGGCUUUGAAAUAUUCCGAUGCCAUAAGGAACCUUCACACUCACCAGAGUAUAAACCAUUGACGCAUAUCUACUGCAUUUCCCGGUUUGGCAACUCUGAGAAAUGAAUUUUUAGUUUAUUGUGCGGAAGCUCUGAAGAGGCCAGGAUAAAGUGUACAGGAAGUCAUCAUUUGGCUGCGGAUGGGCAACUGGGUUUCCUACUUCCUCAGUAGCAAACAUGGGCUGUUUUUGACUGAGUGGCAUGCUUUGAAAGCGAGUGACAUACAUUGAUGUGCAACCCUCUGAUCUGAAGAGCAUGUGAGCAUGAUGUUCUUCCCUGAGCUAAAAGUGUAUGAACUAUGUGAAAGAUGCUCCCACAGGGGUGGGCACCAUUGACUCCAUGGGGCUCCCAAGGGAGGUGGACUUCUUGGUUGAUCAAGUUUGGUGAAGGGCACUAAUCCUUCAGCAACUGUCCACAAAAGGAAUUCCCUGAAGAACAGUCCCCUGGAUAAAACAUAAUUUAUGGAAAAUGAAGAAGUACCAAGGAAGGAUCUGGCCUCUUCCUUGGUCCUGGGCUCUGAUUUUUACUCUCUGGACUCAGAAGGAGAAAGACCACAAAACACUCAAUGAGGCCUUACCACUCCAGAAGCAAGGGGACAGCCAUCCGCUCAAGAGCAGGAAACUGAGGCAGCGAGCAGACCUCCCCCUAGAGACCCACAGCUCCACAUGCACCGGGGACCCACAGCUCCAGCACCUUUCCACUCUGGUCUUGCCUGUCUCUCCUUUCAUGGCCGAUGACAGUCAAUAUUAAAAGAGAUUUAGC
This 2881-nucleotide long non-coding RNA is filed under the name Equus caballus (horse). Its description in RNAcentral is "lncRNA (ENSECAG00000036887.3)". The record is from RNAcentral. Lineage: Eukaryota; Metazoa; Chordata; Mammalia; Perissodactyla; Equidae.